CGGGUGAGUAACACGUGGAUAACCUACCUAUAAGACUGGGAUAACUUCGGGAAACCGGAGCUAAUACCGGAUAAUAUAUUGAACCGCAUGGUUCAAUGUGAAAGACGGUUUUGCUGUCACUUAUAGAUGGAUCCGCGCCGCAUUAGCUAGUUGGUAAGGUAACGGCUUACCAAGGCAACGAUGCGUAGCCGACCUGAGAGGGUGAUCGGCCACACUGGAACUGAGACACGGUCCAGACUCCUACGGGAGGCAGCAGCA
Molecule: ribosomal RNA, 258 nt
Filed under: uncultured Staphylococcus sp.
Lineage: Bacteria; Bacillati; Bacillota; Bacilli; Caryophanales; Staphylococcaceae
Description: partial 16S ribosomal RNA
Rfam family: Bacterial small subunit ribosomal RNA
Source: RNAcentral